GCGAAGAUAGUUUAAGGAGAAUAUAAAAUUGUCGAUUUUAAGGUGCCUUUUGGUUCUUUGUU
RNAcentral lists this transfer RNA (62 nucleotides) under Mactra cumingii. RNAcentral describes it as "tRNA-Asp". The record is from RNAcentral. Lineage: Eukaryota; Metazoa; Mollusca; Bivalvia; Venerida; Mactridae.